Molecule: ribosomal RNA, 279 nt
Filed under: uncultured bacterium
Lineage: Bacteria
Description: partial 16S ribosomal RNA
Rfam family: Bacterial small subunit ribosomal RNA
Source: RNAcentral
UGCCAGCAGCCGCGGUAAUACGGAGGGUGCAAGCGUUGUUCGGAGUCACUGGGCAUAAAGAGCACGUAGGCGGUCUACUAAGUCAAAUGUGAAAUCCCUCGGCUCAACCGGGGAACUGCAUGUGAUACUGGUGGACUAGAGGACGGUAGGGGUGAGUGGAACUCCAGGUGGAGCGGUGAAAUGCGUAGAUAUCUGGAGGAACACCUGUGGCGAAAGCGGCUCACUGGACCGUCUCUGACGCUGAGGUGCGAAAGCUAGGGUAGCGAACGGGAUUAGAUA